AUGCGCUCGGAGUUGCAACCGCUCGCAGAAAAAGCUCCUGCCCGCAACCGAAAAAGCUACUAUCGGCGGAUUGAUUUGCUACAACUGACAAUGCUAGAUGGCUGUAAAGCGUCGAACAGGAAGCUGUGCAACCCGCUUGCAAAAAAGCUUCUUCCGGCAAUGGAGAAAGCUACUACUAGCGGAUUGAUUUGCUACAACCGACGGACGCCAGAUGGCUGCAAGCGUCGAACAGGAAGCUGCAACCCAUCUACAAAAACGCUACUACCGGCAAUAGAAAAAGCUACUACAGGCGGACAUUUUUGCUACAAUGGGCGACGGUGA
RNAcentral lists this ribosomal RNA (321 nucleotides) under Triticum aestivum (bread wheat). RNAcentral describes it as "partial small subunit ribosomal RNA". The record is from RNAcentral. Lineage: Eukaryota; Viridiplantae; Streptophyta; Magnoliopsida; Poales; Poaceae.